GAUGAACGCUAGCGGCAGGCUUAAUACAUGCAAGUCGUGGGGCAGCAUGAGUAGCAAUACUUGAUGGCGACCGGCAAACGGGUGCGGAACACGUACACAACCUUCCGAUAAGUGGGGAAUAGCCCAGAGAACUUUGGAUUAAUACCCCGUAACAUAUAGAGUAGGCAUCUUCUUUAUAUUAUAGCUUCGGCGCUUAUUGAUGGGUGUGCGUCUGAUUAGGUAGUUGGCGGGGUAACGGCCCACCAAGCCUACGAUCAGUAGCUGAUGUGAGAGCAUGCUCAGGCACACGGGCGCUGAGACACGGGCCCGACUCCUACGGGAGGCAGCAGUCAGGAAUAUUGGACAAUGGGCGAAAGCCUGAUCCAGCCAUGCCGCGUGAAGGAUUAAGGUCCUCUGGAUUGUAAACUUCUUUUAUUUGGGACGAAAAAAGGGAAUUCUUUCCCACUUGACGGUACCAAGUGAAUAAGCACCGGCUAACUCCGUUCCAGCCGCCGCGGUAA
This 500-nucleotide ribosomal RNA is filed under the name uncultured bacterium. RNAcentral's name for it is "partial 16S ribosomal RNA". It matches the Rfam family "Bacterial small subunit ribosomal RNA", at positions 28 to 523 of the family's 1533-position model. The record is from RNAcentral.